GGCUCUGUGGCGCAAUGGAUAGCGCAUUGGACUUCUAGAUAAAUAAAGGUAUUCAAAGGUUGUGGGUUCGAGUCCCACCAGAGUCA
This is a non-coding RNA of Xenopus tropicalis (tropical clawed frog), 86 nucleotides long. NCBI's taxonomy places the organism in Eukaryota, Metazoa, Chordata, Amphibia, Anura, Pipidae. The record is from Rfam.